Ixodes scapularis (black-legged tick) is the source of this 329-nucleotide non-coding RNA. The record is from Rfam. Lineage: Eukaryota; Metazoa; Arthropoda; Arachnida; Ixodida; Ixodidae.
GGAUGUAAUGGGCGCAUUCACGACGGUGUGUCUCAUUUUAAAUUUCUGGGAGGAUUGACAGAUUGAAAGCUUUUUCUUGAUUUGGUGGAUAGUGGUGCAUGUCCUUUCUUCGUUGUCGGAGCGAUUUGUCUGGUUAAUUCCGAUAACGAACGAGACUCCAGCCUAUUAGAUAGGUGCGUGGUUCUCAGCACCUUGACCCCUCCUUAGAGGGACAAGCGGCUCCUAGCCGCACGAAACAGAGCAAUAACAGGUCUGUGAUGCCCUUAGAUGUCCGGGGCCGCACGCGCGCUCCACUGAAGAAAACAGCGUGUUUUUAUCCCUGUCUGUUA